Molecule: unclassified non-coding RNA, 391 nt
Organism: Drosophila navojoa
Lineage: Eukaryota; Metazoa; Arthropoda; Insecta; Diptera; Drosophilidae
Source: RefSeq, a predicted model, not a curated record
AUUUGCAAGCGCGACGUAGCAGUCGCUGGCGACGCUCGAUUCGGCAUUCAGCUCGGAUACACCAGCUCUCGUGCUCGCGUGCGAAAUUCGGUGUCAAAGUGAAACAUUUUACGUGAGAUCUCUGCUCGCAAAGCAGCAACAGCAACAACAACAGCUGAAGGGCCAGCCCACGUAGGAGCUGUGCAGCGCCAGUGAAAGUGGAAGAGGCAGAGACAGAGGCAGAGGAAGUGGAAGUGGAAGCGACAGUAGCACUGGCAGUGGCAGUGGCUCAGCCAAGUUCAAAAUCAUCGCCUGACAAUGACAAAGCGCUCCACUGGGCGGCCAGCAGCAGCAGCAGCAGCAGCAGCAGUAGAAGCAGCAGCGGCAGCAGCAACGUGGCGCACGCCAGCAG